CGCCUUGCCAGCCCGCUCAGAACUAAAUGAAUUGACGGGGGCCCGCACAAGCGGUGGAGCAUGUGGUUUAAUUCGAUGAUACGCGAGGAACCUUACCUGGGCUCAAAUGUAUGUUGACGUAUUCUGAAAGGGAUACUUCUUCGGACAAUAUACAAGGUGCUGCAUGGUUGUCGUCAGCUCGUGCCGUGAGGUGUCGGGUUAAGUCCCAUAACGAGCGCAACCCCUAUCAUUAGUUGCCAUCAGGUCAAGCUGGGGACUCUAAUGAAACUGCCUACGCAAGUAGUGAGGAAGGUGGGGAUGACGUCAAAUCAGCACGGCCCUUACGUCCAGGGCUACACACGUGCUACAAUGGCCGGUACAAAGGGCAGCUACCUGGUGACAGGAUGCUAAUCUCAAAAGCCGGUCUCAGUUCGGAUCGGAGUCUGCAACCCGACUCCGUGAAGCUGGAUUCGCUAGUAAUCGCGCAUCAGCCACGGCGCGGUGAAUACGUUCCCGGGCCUU
This 501-nucleotide ribosomal RNA is filed under the name uncultured Sphingobacteriales bacterium. Its description in RNAcentral is "bacterial SSU rRNA". It matches the Rfam family "Bacterial small subunit ribosomal RNA", at positions 903 to 1382 of the family's 1533-position model. Lineage: Bacteria; Pseudomonadati; Bacteroidota; Sphingobacteriia; Sphingobacteriales. The record is from RNAcentral.